This is a long non-coding RNA of Brassica oleracea var. oleracea, 172 nucleotides long. RefSeq lists it as uncharacterized. The transcript is spliced from 3 exons. NCBI's taxonomy places the organism in Eukaryota, Viridiplantae, Streptophyta, Magnoliopsida, Brassicales, Brassicaceae. The record is from RefSeq and is a predicted model, not a curated record.
GGGCAUUACCUGAAAGUGAAAGGCUGAAAGGGGAUCGUGAAGGCAAAACAAGCGCGAGGCCAGAGAGCAAGAUGCCUAGAUCUACACGCGGCUCGGAACAACGAAGGCUCCAGUGUCUACAAGACAUCCAAAAUUUGCAAGAGGAGAUCAAGUUGUUACAGAUUUCAAACGA